GGGCCCGCACAAGCAGCGGAGCGUGUUGCUUAAUUCGAUGAUACGCGAGGAACCUUACCAGGGCUUAAAUGGGAAAUGACAGGGGCAGAGACGCCCCCUUCUUCGGACAUUUUUCAAGGUGCUGCAUGGUUGUCGUCAGCUCGUGCCGUGAGGUGUCAGGUUAAGUCCUAUAACGAGCGCAACCCCUACCGUUAGUUGCCAGCGUGUAAUGACGGGGACUCUAACGGAACUGCCGGUGCAAACCGUGAGGAAGGUGGGGACGACGUCAAAUCAUCACGGCCCUUACGUCCUGGCCACACACGUGCUACAAUGGUAGGUACAGAGGGAAGCCACCCCGCGAGGGGGAGCG
Molecule: ribosomal RNA, 349 nt
Filed under: uncultured bacterium
Lineage: Bacteria
Description: bacterial SSU rRNA
Rfam family: Bacterial small subunit ribosomal RNA
Source: RNAcentral